GGAAGGAUGGCUGAGUGGCCGAAAGCACUGGUUUGCUAAAUCAGCCUCGAGAAUACUCGAGCAUGGGUUCGAAUCCCAUUUCUUCCG
RNAcentral lists this transfer RNA (87 nucleotides) under Helicosporidium sp. ex Simulium jonesi. Its description in RNAcentral is "tRNA-Ser". It matches the Rfam family "tRNA". Rfam says of the family: Transfer RNA (tRNA) molecules are approximately 80 nucleotides in length. The record is from RNAcentral. Lineage: Eukaryota; Viridiplantae; Chlorophyta; Trebouxiophyceae; Chlorellales; Chlorellaceae.